UGAUGUGAAGACCCUAUGGAGCUUUAGACACCAACCAACCACGAAAAGCGACCCUGAUUGGAGCCCCAAACAACGUGAUUCUGGCAUAAGUGUUUUCGGUUGGGGGCGACCACGGGAGAUAGCACAGCUCCCGAGUGGAUGGGGGACACCCUAAAACCCAGAGCCACARCUCUCAGUCACAAAACAUUUGACCAAUAAUGAUCCGGCUUAAUGCCGACCAACGGACCAAGUUCCCUAGGGAUAACAGCGCAAUCCUCUCCCAGAGUCACAUAUCGACGAGGGGGUUUACGACCUCCAUACAUAA
RNAcentral lists this ribosomal RNA (304 nucleotides) under Sardinops sagax (South American pilchard). RNAcentral describes it as "partial 16S ribosomal RNA". The record is from RNAcentral. Lineage: Eukaryota; Metazoa; Chordata; Actinopteri; Clupeiformes; Clupeidae.